RNAcentral lists this ribosomal RNA (497 nucleotides) under uncultured bacterium. RNAcentral's name for it is "partial 16S ribosomal RNA". It matches the Rfam family "Bacterial small subunit ribosomal RNA", at positions 28 to 507 of the family's 1533-position model. The record is from RNAcentral.
GAUGAACGCUGGCGGCGUGCCUAAUACAUGCAAGUCGAGCGAACAGACGAGGAGCUUGCUCCUCUGACGUUAGCGGCGGACGGGUGAGUAACACGUGGAUAACCUACCUAUAAGACUGGGAUAACUUCGGGAAACCGGAGCUAAUACCGGAUAAUCUAUUGAACCGCAUGGUUCAAUAGUGAAAGACGGUUUUGCUGUCACUUAUCGAUGGAUCCGCGCCGCAUUAGCUAGUUGGUAAGGUAACGGCCUACCAAGGCAACGAUGCGUAGCCGACCUGAGAGGGUGAUCGGCCACACUGGAACUGAGACACGGUCCAGACUCCUACGGGAGGCAGCAGUAGGGAAUCUUCCGCAAUGGGCGAAAGCCUGACGGAGCAACGCCGCGUGAGUGAUGAAGGUCUUCGGAUCGUAAAACUCUGUUAUUAGGGAAGAACAAAUGUGUAAGUAACUAUGCACGUAUUGACGGUACCUAAUCAGAAAGCAACGGCUAACUACGUG